GAUGAACGCUGGCGGCGUGCCUAAUACAUGCAAGUCGAGCGAACAGAUAAUGAUCUUGCUCCUUUUACGUUAGCGGCUGACGUGUGAGUAACACGUGGUUAACCUACCUAUAAUACUGGAAUAACUCCGGGAAACCGGUGCUAAUGCCGUAUAACAUUUAGAACCGCAUGGUUCUAAAGUGAAUGUUGGUUUUGCUAUCUCUUAUAGAUGUACCCGCGCCGUAUUAGCUAGUUGGUAAGGUAACGGCUUACCAAGGCAACGAUACGUAGCCGACCUGAGAGGGGGAACGGCAACACGGGAACUGAGAAACGGACAAGAAAAAUACGGGAGGCAGCAGAAGGGAAUAUGACGCAAUGGGCGAAAGCAUGAAGGAGCAAAGCAGAGUGAGAGAUGAAGGAGUUCGGAUCGUAAAACACUGUUAGUAGGGAAGAAAAAAAGUGGAAGAAAAAGUGCACGGAAUGACGGUAACGAAAAAGAAAGCAACGGCUAACUACGUG
Molecule: ribosomal RNA, 497 nt
Filed under: uncultured bacterium
Lineage: Bacteria
Description: partial 16S ribosomal RNA
Rfam family: Bacterial small subunit ribosomal RNA
Source: RNAcentral